UGAUCCUGGCUCAGGAAUGAACGCUAGCGGGAGGCUUAACACAUGCAAGUCGAGGGGGAGCACGAGGUAGCAAUACUUUGGUGGCGACCGGCGUACGGGUGAGUAACGCGUAUGCAACCUACCCUGUACUGGGGGAUAGCCCGGAGAAAUUCGGAUUAAUACCCCAUAAAGAUAUUUGGAGGCAUCUUCAGAUAUUUAAAGUUUCGACGGUACGGGAUGGGCAUGCGUAACAUUAGCUUGUUGGUAAGGUAACGGCUUACCAAGGCUACGAUGUUUAGGGGUCCUGAGAGGGUGAUCCCCCACACUGGUACUGAGACACGGACCAGACUCCUACGGGAGGCAGCAGUGAGGAAUAUUGGUCAAUGGGCGCAAGCCUGAACCAGCCAUCCCGCGUGCAGGAAGACGGCGCUACGCGUUGUAAACUGCUUUUCCAGGGGAAGAAAACCCACGACGUGUCGUGGCUUGCCGGUACCCUGGGAAUAAGCAUCGGCUAACUCCGUGCCAGCAGCCGCGGUAAUACGGAGGAUGCGAGCGUUAUCCGGAUUUAUUGGGUUUAAAGGGUGCGUAGGCGGAUUAAUAAGUCAGUGGUGAAAACCUUCAGCUUAACUGGAGACUUGCCAUUGAUACUGUUAGUCUUGAGUACGGUCAAGGUAGGCGGAAUGUGUAAUGUAGCGGUGAAAUGCUUAGAUAUUACACAGAACACCGAUUGCGAAGGCAGCUUACUGGACCAUUACUGACGCUGAGGCACGAAAGCGUGGGUAGCGAACAGGAUUAGAUACCCUGGUAGUCCACGCCGUAAACGAUGAUCACUCGCUGUU
RNAcentral lists this ribosomal RNA (818 nucleotides) under uncultured bacterium. RNAcentral describes it as "bacterial SSU rRNA". It matches the Rfam family "Bacterial small subunit ribosomal RNA", at positions 14 to 824 of the family's 1533-position model. The record is from RNAcentral.